GUGGCACAAUGAUCAGGUCCGUCCUUGGGCGGACUAGGUGGCUCACACCAGUGCUUCGGACAGCGGUUCGAUUCCGCUCAGCUCCACUUCACUCUUCUUCAGGGUGAUCAUCCAGGGGCUGCAAUGGUUUCGACGGGGUAAGAGGAGGGUGACUGAAGCCUGCUCGGUAAGAGCAAAUCCGUAACAGCGAACAACAUCGUUGCUUUCUCCCGUCAGCCCGCCCCUGUGGCCGCCUGACUCCUUAGGGAGAUGGGGUAAGUCAGCCUUAUCACCCAAUUGACUCACGGGGGCUGGAAGGCCCC
Molecule: transfer-messenger RNA, 302 nt
Filed under: Cyanobium sp.
Lineage: Bacteria; Bacillati; Cyanobacteriota; Cyanophyceae; Synechococcales; Prochlorococcaceae
Also listed under: 1 other name
Rfam family: Cyanobacteria transfer-messenger RNA
About the family: Bacterial tmRNA, also known as 10Sa RNA or SsrA, is named for its dual tRNA and mRNA-like properties. Its role is to liberate the mRNA from a stalled ribosome.
Source: RNAcentral